AUUGAACGCUGGCGGCAGGCCUAACACAUGCAAGUCGAACGAGUGGCGGACGGGUGAGUACUGUAUGGAAAACUGCCUGUUGGAGGGGGAUAACUGCUGGAAACGGUAGCUAACAUCGCAAACCCACUGAUGUGCCAAUAUGGGAUUAGCUAGUAGGUGGGGUAACGGCUCACCUAGGCGACGAUCCCUAGCUGGUCGGAGAGGUUGACCAGCCACACUGGAACUGAGACACGGUCCAGACUCCUACGGGAGGCAGCAGUGGGGAAUAUUGCACAAUGGGGGCAAGCCUGAUGCAGCCAUGCCGCGUGUAUGAAGAAGGCCUUCGGGUUGUAAAGUACUUUCAGCGGGGAGGCGUUACCCGCAGAAGAAGCACGGGCGAACUCCGUGCCAGCAGCCGCGGUAAUUC
This 406-nucleotide ribosomal RNA is filed under the name uncultured bacterium. Its description in RNAcentral is "partial 16S ribosomal RNA". It matches the Rfam family "Bacterial small subunit ribosomal RNA", at positions 30 to 526 of the family's 1533-position model. The record is from RNAcentral.